GGGCCGGUAGAUCAGCUGGAAGAUCGCCACCUUCGCAAGGUGGAGGCCUCGGGUUCAAAUACCGACCGGUCCA
This 73-nucleotide transfer RNA is filed under the name Thermoplasmatales archaeon. RNAcentral's name for it is "tRNA-Ala". It matches the Rfam family "tRNA". Rfam says of the family: Transfer RNA (tRNA) molecules are approximately 80 nucleotides in length. Their secondary structure includes four short double-helical elements and three loops (D, anti-codon, and T loops). Further hydrogen bonds mediate the characteristic L-shaped molecular structure. tRNAs have two regions of fundamental functional importance: the anti-codon, which is responsible for specific mRNA codon recognition, and the 3' end, to which the tRNAs corresponding amino acid is attached (by aminoacyl-tRNA synthetases). tRNAs cope with the degeneracy of the genetic code in two manners: having more than one tRNA (with a specific anti-codon) for a particular amino acid; and 'wobble' base-pairing, i.e. permitting non-standard base-pairing at the 3rd anti-codon position. The record is from RNAcentral. Lineage: Archaea; Methanobacteriati; Thermoplasmatota; Thermoplasmata; Thermoplasmatales.